This 253-nucleotide ribosomal RNA is filed under the name uncultured bacterium. RNAcentral's name for it is "partial 16S ribosomal RNA". It matches the Rfam family "Bacterial small subunit ribosomal RNA", at positions 524 to 776 of the family's 1533-position model. The record is from RNAcentral.
UACGGGAAGGGCAAGCGUUAUUCGGAAUUACUGGGCGUAAAGGGCGCGUAGGCGGUGGGUUACGUCUGCCGUGAAAUCCCCGGGCUCAACCUGGGAAUGGCGGUGGAAACGGGCUGACUGGAGUAUGGGAGAGGGUGAUGGAAUUCCAGGUGUAGCGGUGAAAUGCGUAGAGAUCUGGAGGAACACCAGUGGCGAAGGCGGUCACCUGGCCCAAUACUGACGCUGAGGCGCGAAAGCGUGGGGAGCAAACAGG